RNAcentral lists this ribosomal RNA (253 nucleotides) under uncultured bacterium. Its description in RNAcentral is "partial 16S ribosomal RNA". It matches the Rfam family "Bacterial small subunit ribosomal RNA", at positions 524 to 776 of the family's 1533-position model. The record is from RNAcentral.
UACAGAGACCCCAAGCGUUAUCCGGAAUCAUUGGGCGUAAAGGGUGUGUAGGUGGUGCGGUUAGUCUUCUGUCAAAAACUUGGGCUCAACCCAAGCCUUGCAGGGGAAACGGCCGCACUCGAGGAUGCGAGAGGUGAAUGGAACUCAUGGAGUAGGGGUAAUAUCCGUUGAUAUCAUGGGGAACACCAAAUGCGAAGGCAAUUCACUGGCGCAUUCCUGACACUGAGACACGAAAGCGUGGGUAGCGAACGGG